GAUGAAGAACGUAGUGAAAUGCAAUACGUAAUGUGAAUUGCAGAAUUCAGUGAAUCAUCGAGUCUUUGAACGCACAUUGCGCCCCCUGGUAUUCCGGGGGGCAUGCUUGUCCGAGCGUCAUUGCUGCCCUCAAGCACGGCUUGUGUGUUGGGCCUCCGUCCUCCUCCCGGGGGACGGGCCCGAAAGGCAGCGGCGGCACCGCGUCCGGUCCUCGAGCGUAUGGGGCUUCGUCACCCGCUCUUGUAGGCCCGGCCGGCGCUUGCCGACACAUCAAUCUUUUUUCCAGGUUGACCUCGCAUCAGGUAGGGAUACCCGCUGAACUUAAGCAUAUCAAUAAGCGGAGGA
Molecule: unclassified non-coding RNA, 345 nt
Filed under: soil metagenome
Description: partial contains 5.8S ribosomal RNA, internal transcribed spacer 2, and large subunit ribosomal RNA
Rfam family: 5.8S ribosomal RNA (bases 1-120)
Source: RNAcentral